UUCAUGCCUUAAACAUAACUCCUUUUUAUUAUGUUUGUAUUUCGAAUGAUGAUUGAGUUACGCAUGGGUAUCUGUUCAGGUAUUAUGACAGCUUCUUGGACGCAAAUGCUUUAAAUGGUAUGGACUGCUUGAGAUCUGUGGCUGCUUCAACUCUACCCUAUCUGCUCCUAAGUUGUGGUUUUAUGACUAAGUUGUUUGCUAGAAUUUGUUUAGUUGGAACAAAUUGCUGUAUUAUGUGAAGAACGAGCUGCAAAGUAUUUGAAAAUUUGCUUACUUCUGAUACUUCAAGUUAUAAGUUUUUUGGGUACAAUCAUGUAUGCCAAUUUGGCAAAUGUGUUAUUUUAUCAUUGUGGUAUCUGAAAGAGUGUCCAAUUUGCUUGGCAA
RNAcentral lists this long non-coding RNA (384 nucleotides) under Olea europaea subsp. europaea. The record is from RNAcentral. Lineage: Eukaryota; Viridiplantae; Streptophyta; Magnoliopsida; Lamiales; Oleaceae.